CGGUUUCCACAUUCACGCAUCAGCCCGUUCACUGCGUCCGGGAGAAAACAGCUGGCGAGGCUCGGUUCCCCCCCACUCUCCGCCGGGAAGAGCAUGGCUUCGGGCGGCCCUGCGCAGAGAACGCAGAUGUGGACCCUCGGAAAGGAUGGUGACAGACAACUCUAAUACCAGCCCUUGGCAGGCAGAGGCAGGAGGAUCACUGCAAGUACAAGGGCAGCUUGUGCUCCAGAGCGAGGUCACAGCGACCUGAACCACACAGAAGGCACAGCCUCAAAAACAAUCCUUGGUAAGUUGCCCAGGCUAGACUUGAAUUCAAGAUGUUCCUGACUCCCUCAGGAGGACCUGGGCUGACAGGCACAGACAACUGCUCCAUGCUACUCUGUCAUGUUUUCUAGCCUUCUCUCUCACUUUUAUUUCCCAGUACUGGCUAUGGAACUCAGGACCUUUCGCUUGCCAGGCAGGUGCAACUGAACUGCAUUCCUGGCCCUCUAUCGUUCUCUCUCUUCUCUAACCAUCUAAAAAAUGAUUCAACAGCAAGUUUUGGAAUUCAUGUCUGCUUCCACCUCGGUACAUCUUUGGGAAAGCCUAGGCAUGAAAAUGUUCUCUUGUACAUUGACAGUAUAAUGAUAAAAGGCAGAAAAUUCAGCAUGAACACAAGACUCUUACAAGAUCCAAAAUCUGUAUUCAGCCUUCAGCCACCUAAGUAACCUCCUGCUUAGCUUUUUCCUCCUUCAGGUCAGCGUCUUAGUCACCUCCUCAUGUCUGAGACCAAUCCUCAACACCCCCAGCUU
Heterocephalus glaber (naked mole-rat) is the source of this 791-nucleotide non-coding RNA. The record is from RefSeq and is a predicted model, not a curated record. Lineage: Eukaryota; Metazoa; Chordata; Mammalia; Rodentia; Bathyergidae.